Molecule: ribosomal RNA, 253 nt
Filed under: uncultured bacterium
Lineage: Bacteria
Description: partial 16S ribosomal RNA
Rfam family: Bacterial small subunit ribosomal RNA
Source: RNAcentral
UACGUAGGGGGCAAGCGUUGUCCGGAAUCAUUGGGCGUAAAGCGCGUGUAGGCGGUCCGGUAAGUCGGCUGUGAAAGUCCAGGGCUCAACCCUGGGAUGCCGGUCGAUACUGCCGGACUAGAGUUCGGAAGAGGCGAGUGGAAUUCCCGGUGUAGCGGUGAAAUGCGCAGAUAUCGGGAGGAACACCAAUGGCGAAGGCAGCUCGCUGGGACGUUACUGACGCUGAGACGCGAAAGCUAGGGGAGCAAACAGG